AAUGAACGUUGGCGGCAUGGAUUAGGCAUGCAAGUCGAGCGAGAAGAGUUUUGAAGCUUGCUUUAGAACUCGGACAGCGGCGAAAGGGAGAGUAACGCGUAGUUAUGUGCCCUAGGGUCCGGAAUAGCCACGGGAAACUGUGGGUAAUGCCGGAUAAUAUCCCCGGAUCAAAGGUGUGAUUCCGCCCUAGGAGCAGACUGCGUCCUACUAGCUAGUUGGUGGGGUAAUGGCCCACCAAGGCAAUGAUGGGUAGCGGGUGUGAGAGCAUGACCCGUCUCACUGUGGCUGAGACACUGCCCAGACACCUUCGGGUGGCUGCAGUCGAGAAUCUUCGGCAAUGGGCGAAAGCCUGACCGAGCGAUGCCGCGUGCGGGAUGAAGGCCCUCGGGUUGUAAACCGCUGUCGUAGGGGAGGAAGGUUCCGUGAAGAGCGGGACUUGACCUAUCCUAGGGGGAAGUACGGGCUAAGUUCGUGCCAGCCGCCGCCGUAA
This 490-nucleotide ribosomal RNA is filed under the name uncultured bacterium. Its description in RNAcentral is "partial 16S ribosomal RNA". It matches the Rfam family "Bacterial small subunit ribosomal RNA", at positions 29 to 523 of the family's 1533-position model. The record is from RNAcentral.